This 73-nucleotide transfer RNA is filed under the name Bacteriophage sp. RNAcentral describes it as "tRNA-Leu". The record is from RNAcentral. RNAcentral also lists the same sequence under 1 other name.
CCUACGAUAGCAUAACUGGAAAUGCCACGGUUCCCCGACCGGGGAUAGUUGGGUUCAAUUCCCAACCGUAGGA